This 523-nucleotide ribosomal RNA is filed under the name uncultured bacterium. RNAcentral describes it as "bacterial SSU rRNA". It matches the Rfam family "Bacterial small subunit ribosomal RNA", at positions 8 to 524 of the family's 1533-position model. The record is from RNAcentral.
AGAGUUUGAUCAUGGCUCAGGAUGAACGCUAGCGGCAGGCUUAAUACAUGCAAGUCGAAGGGCAUCAGCUUAUAGCAAUAUAGGGCUGGCGACCGGCAAACGGGCGCGGAACACGUACACAACCUUCCUUUAAGAGGGGGAUAGCCCAUAGAAAUGUGGAUUAAUACCCCGUAAGAUAGUGGGAUGGCAUCAUACUACUAUUAUAGUUACGACGCUUGAAGAUGGGUGUGCGUCUGAUUAGGUAGUUGGCGGGGUAAAGGCCCACCAAGCCUUCGAUCAGUAGCUGAUGUGAGAGCAUGAUCAGCCACACGGGCACUGAGACACGGGCCCGACUCCUACGGGAGGCAGCAGUAUGGAAUAUUGGUCAAUGGACGCAAGUCUGAACCAGCCAUGCCGCGUGAAGGAUGAAGGUCCUCUGGAUUGUAAACUUCUUUUAUAGGGGGCGAAAAAAGGGAAAUCUUUCUCACUUGACAGUACCCUAUGAAUAAGCACCGGCUAACUCCGUGCCAGCAGCCGCGGUAAU